GACGGGGGAUGCAAGUGUUAUCCGGAAUCACUGGGCGUAAAGCGUCUGUAGGUGGUCCAAUAAGUCAACUGUUAAAUCUUGGGGCUCAACCUCAAAAUCGCAGUCGAAACUAUUAGACUAGAGUAUAGUAGGGGUAAAGGGAAUUUCCAGUGGAGCGGUGAAAUGCGUAGAUAUUGGAAAGAACACCGAUGGCGAAAGCACUUUACUGGGCUAUUACUAACACUCAGAGACGAAAGCUAGGGCAGCAAAUGGG
RNAcentral lists this ribosomal RNA (253 nucleotides) under uncultured bacterium. Its description in RNAcentral is "partial 16S ribosomal RNA". It matches the Rfam family "Bacterial small subunit ribosomal RNA", at positions 524 to 776 of the family's 1533-position model. The record is from RNAcentral.